Long non-coding RNA from Nilaparvata lugens (brown planthopper), 1039 nucleotides. RefSeq lists it as uncharacterized. NCBI's taxonomy places the organism in Eukaryota, Metazoa, Arthropoda, Insecta, Hemiptera, Delphacidae. The record is from RefSeq and is a predicted model, not a curated record. The transcript is spliced from 3 exons.
UUCUAAUGAAUAAUUUCAAUAAAGUAGUAACAGCCAAUCACAGUUAACGUUGGUUAGGUUCCUAUCUAGUGAGGCCGAUCACACAGCUCCUCGACAAGACAAGCGUACCGUGGGUUUCAUUCAGCGUCUGUCCAUUGCUGCUAGCAGAACUGAAUAAUGUAGUGUCAGUAUUUUGUGUUAAUCAUAGCUUUUAUGCCAGCUUUAGGCUUGUUAGUAUUUGGCUGUGGAACCAUCUGUUCCAAUAGCAUGUCUUAGUUUUUCCGCCCCAGUAAAUGCUUUAAUCAAAAAGAGAGGAUAUCAAAUUUGUCACCUCACAAUGGAGAUUUUCCUCCUAUUACCGCUACUAAGCGGUCAAUGUACGGGUCCAUCAAUGUUCGGGUCCAUGAAUGUCUCGUGAACGUGUGUCUUUCAGCCGCUGAGAUGCCUCUGAAUCGAUGGCAAUCCUAGAAGCUUGGGGUAUGCUGUCUUCUGUCCCAUCGGGACGUGUAGAGCUCAAUCACCGAGUCUAGAUUCAAAUUGAAGAAGCAGCUUUGAGAGAAAAAGGAUUCAGUUUGCAUCAGAGGAAAUGGGAUUCUCUUAACAAGGGAAAAGAGAUCAGACGAAAGAGCGAAAUUCUCGAUGUUUUAUUGAGUUGAGCUGAGACGUCUGGCGACCUGCUGACAACAUGAAGCUUUUUGAACGGUUUCACUCGACACAGGAAUUUUGUCUACACUUUGUUGGAGAGAAUAGCAAACAAUUGUAUUAUGAUAAUAACAGGCGAGCAAGCUGUUCUAUAUCACUCUUCUCGAAAACUAUUCUCUAUCUUUCUAGGAAAAAUACGCUCGUCCAGUGGUAGGAACUAAUACUGUUAUAGAUUUACUAUAAAAGUUACUCAGCCAUUGGAAUUAAUCCAAAGAUUUAUUCCUGAAUCUUCGAUCAAAUUUAUUUACUUCAAUAAAACUUUUGAUUUAGACCAAUGAUGUGUAGUCUAUUGAAAUGAUGAUUUUGAAUGAAUUCAGUUUUAAGAUAAGUUCCAUUCCUUAGUUAUCUUAAGAAUCUU